AGCACUUGCAUUCUUUUGUUUUAGUCUUCUUCUUUCUUCAUUUCCUUUCAAUAAAUCCAUGAAUGUUAUCAUGGUAUCAGAGCUACGGCUCUUGAUCUUGUGGACCUCUUCAUAUUUUUAAUCGCUUCCGCUUUUAUCAGUUUCAGUAGAUUCGAUUUAUCCCCAAUUUCUAACCCUAACCCCCAAAUUUGUUAUCUCCUGAAUCGUGAAGCCUCUGUCAUGGAUUAUCGCUCAAAGCUUGAGCAUCAUCUCAUCAUCCUUCAUCUAUGGUUCAGAGUUUUAUUGUCGCAGUUAUCGUUCGCUCAAGUUUGCUUCGUCGGGAGUCUAGUUUUGCUUGGUUCACUCAUCGGACACCGGGGAUCUGCGUUUUGAAUGGAAGUUGAUUCGGUAAUUCACUCAGUAAUACAGAAUCACGCUGUCAUCUCAGUGAACAUUUCGUCAAACACCUGGUGUGCGUUCUUUCAUCUAAUUCUCGAUGAAAUUCAGUAACACUAAAUUGUUUCCAUUAUACUUAGUGGAUAUGAUUUAUUAUUAUUGGUGUUUUCAUGUGUUGAUAUGGACAAAUUGAUGGAAUUGAUGGUCAUAUAUUGAUAAUUGUUGCUAUCUAGUUAUUUGGUGAGAGUUGUUUGUUGAAGAUGAUGAUGAUUAAUUAUAUCAGAGAGUUCAUGUUGUCUUGGAUUUUCUACUUAGGAUGAUUGAGAUGUUCAAAUCUGUGCGAAUCAUCUUUUGGUGUUAUAUGGCUGGGAGUUUCUAAUAUCAAUAUGAUCUGUUGUGGCAAAUUUUUGAGAAUGGAGAUGUCUAGUUUGUUAUGUUGCUUCCUAUGGUAUUAUGUCUUCUACCUGGAGUUUCUGAAUUGUCAUAUCUACCUGUAUUAUUGCCACAUUAUGCUGCUUAGUGAUGAAUGUUUGGUGACAUAAGGUUGAUGGUUGUUGUUUAGUGUUCUCCUACCGCAAAAAUGUUUGAGAUACAGACCCUGCAAUACAACAUAACUUUGGUGGUGGUAGUCUUUGUAAUGUAUGUGGAAUUGUAGAUAACUUUGGAGGUGGUGGCCUUCGUAGUUAUGUGGAAUUGUAGACAACUUUGGAGGUGGUGGCCUUCGUAGUUAUGUGGUAUUGUAGAAACAUAAUGGAGGUAGUAGCCUUCGUUUAUGUUUAUAGAAUUGUAAUAGAGGUGGUGGCCUCUGUAUAACAAACUUUAAAGAAAAUAUUGCAAUGAGUCACAACAAAGUUCAAAUUGGGUAGUAGAUGGAGACACAUUAGACAACAGCUUAGAAGUUUGGCAAUUAAUGCAGAAGUGUUUGAGGCAGAUUUCAUGUUGUGAGUAAUUCAGAAACAAAUCAUUUCUUCAUCUCUUAAAUCUGCUCCAGACUUUCUUAUUUGAGGUUUAGAGCUAGAAAAUCUUGAUUGGACACUAUUUGUGUUGAAGAUGGGACAUCACAUAUGGAGUACAAUGGCUACAAGGAGUAAUCAUCAAUUUUUGGACACUAUUUCUGUUGACGGGUUUCGUGGUUUGGCCUCAUGGCUGUAUAGAUAUAUGUCCUAAUUAAUCUACUGAUCAAUGAAAAUUCAGAAGCAGCCUACACAUAGUUCCUUUUUCUACUGUAGCCAAAGCACAAGUACAGAUGGCUCAAGAAACAAUAGAGAAAGUAAGAAACACGUUGGAUUGCUAGGUGGGAUUGAAAUGGAGCUCCUGGAAAUGCCUUCUUCUGAUCAUGAUUCAAGUAUAAUGGAUUUGCUGGGAUGUUCUUUGCAAUAGUUCCAUACGUUGUGUGUGUAUGAUUGUUGUGGCAGGGCUUUCUCUACAUCUGUUGAUUGCCAAGAACAAGGUUAUGGUAGUGCUUCAACUCAGAUUGGUCCCCUUUCAGUUUCUACAAGGCUUUGGCCUCUCUCUGAGCAUUAUAAUUCUUUUGGAGAACUGAAGGUAAUCAAGGCGGUCAAUAUUUGAUUGUGCUCAAUGGAGUUAUAAGUUCUGAUGGCACUAUAUGCAUUGAUCAUGGGGGUCGAUUUACAUUCUCAUUGAAGCUUAUGAUACUAUUGCUGGAAUGCCUUGAGUGAUGUUGCUUAUGUUGGCCAUUGAAGGAGAACCAGUCCUGCUGUUAUGAUGUAUUGCAACCAUUAUGCUUGAUGCCCAAGCAUAUGAUCGAGGGGGAGUGUUAGGAAUAUAGGGAUAUAUAUUUAGAAUGGUAUUUCAGUCUCUAGCAUAAUUCUCCUAUAUAUGUAGGAAUUGUAAUACUCUUUAGAUUAAUUAGAUCAUUCACAAUGUAGUCGAUAUCUCUCUUGCGUUCUUUUCUUUCAGUCUUCUUCUUUCUUCAUUUCCUUUCAAUAAAUCCAUGAAUGUUAUCAAAUCUAUCAUCUCCAUAAACACACUUCUGGAAAACAACAAGGGUAGAAGAACCAAAUUCUAAUGAACACUAAUCUUCUCCUCCAGUCGAUUAUUACCAUGCUUAGUAGGAAAACAAUAACUUUGGUGUACUAUUGCCAGCUUUUAUACAUGUCAUUUAUAUAUAUGGCCUUUAAAGUUGAUUUUACUGAUCCAGCUCUUUUACUUAGUGGAAGCGGAAGAAUCAUACAUAGUGCAGAGAGCUAUGUAAAAGAUGGUGAAGAAACAGUGCUGUACAGUUCAUAGAAGCACAUCUCUUCACUUUGCCUUACACUGAUUUCAUAAUAAGUACAAUACUUGAUGUCACCAUCGAUUGAUCGAUCUUACCCCAAUUGAAAUGAAAAAGUAUGCAAUUUGAUCGUUUUAGAAUGCACGUUUUAAGUGAAGAAAGCAAGCCAUGGAGUGUUAAUUGUAUCAACUUGGCACCUACGUAUCAAUGAGAAGAAUUUCGAAAAAUUUGUAAUAGAUAAUAACAUACAUCUGACCUCCAUUCUUGAAUGUUCAUGAUCUGUUUCGAUCUACAUAUUGUCACCACCUGAUAUAACAAAUGAUCAAGCUAGGGUUAGACAUAAAGUGGUAGAAGAAAGCACCUAAUCUUUUCUUUGAUGCAAACUAAUUUGUAAUUACAUUUCAUUAAUGGUUAAUAAUUAAGGAUCUAAAAUUUAGAAAAUUGAUCAAUGUGGUUAGUGUUCUACAGAUCGACCAGAUCGAUAAAUUCUAGAGACCAGUUAGUACUUUAUUCCGGUGGCCAUAUUGCAUUAUAUAUACCCAGUACUCCAGUAGGUAGAAAAUAUAUUUGGGUUUUGCUGUUUGG
RNAcentral lists this long non-coding RNA (3193 nucleotides) under Fragaria vesca (wild strawberry). Its description in RNAcentral is "long non-coding RNA (FVES_LNC000005)". Lineage: Eukaryota; Viridiplantae; Streptophyta; Magnoliopsida; Rosales; Rosaceae. The record is from RNAcentral.